UGUGACUCAGCACCGUGGCAAUUGUACUGCUGCGAGGAGACAAACCACAUAGAAAGAGAGGAGCCUCAUUUGCCGUGUCAGAAGUACAAAAGGCUGGUGGAUCUGCAGUUCCUGCACGUCUGCUGAGAGCUGAGCAUUCCAGGGGAGCAGUGCAGGGCUGCAGUGCAGCUGCAGAGCUGCAGUGAUCCCCCAGUCCGUGGGUGUGACCAGCUGCAGGCCCUCAUCAGGAUCCUUGCUUGCAGCUGUGCGUGCUGGAAAAACCCGACGUGAGGGGACAGAGGAGAGUGAAGGUGUGUGCCGAGUUCAGGGAGAAGUUUGUUGUGCAGUCAGAGGUCAUAGUUUUUAUAAGAGGCAACGCUGAGCUUCCAUUCUUGGAGAAUUUCUUCAGUCCAGGUUAGUCCAAUGGUUGUUGUUUAGAGAAUGUUGUGUUUGUGGGUAUUUUUCUCCUAGGUUGUGCUCUGUGCUUUAACUUCUCUGGGUGUGUAAGUAUCUUCCCACUCUGCUUUUCAAGAUGCUUCUAUGAAUUCUAAUCUCAGUUUAGUUACAUGAUUCACUCAUUAACGUUUUGCUGGCUGAAGGAAAGCCUGUCUGAAGGUCAGGUGCCUUCAGAAUUUAUGUGUUUUUAUAUGCUGUGAAGAUACAUCAGCACCUAAAUCCUUCUUGUGCUACUUUUGUUUUUGUGAAGGCUGUAGUAGUGGCUGUACACUGCAGUUCAGUAGAUCAGAGUCUGGAUCCAUCCUGAAUUAAUUCCUAGUAAAGUUCAGCCCUUGCUUCAUAGAGUUUUCAGUCUGGUUCUGGCAUAAUACUCCUGUCCUGCCUCCACAGAGAUUUGGGUUUUUUUGUCAGUCACUUAGUGACUGAGAGCUAAAAACCCCCUUUUUUGAUGAGAAAGGCUGAAUUCCUGAAGCAACUGCUUUGGCUGGAAGACUGUGAGAAGUUCAGGUAGGAGUAGUUGAUCUGUUGUGAGUGAAUACAAGCAGGCAGUACCUGUGCUGCUGAAGUUCCUGAAAGGAUGUGAAUAUCCCUGUUUAAGCAGUGCCUUCUGAUAAUUUUGCCUGUGUGACUCAUUUUUCUAUGCUAGACUGUUUGCCUUAGCUAUUGUCAAAAGGCUUUUAGCUGGACUAUAAAAUUCAGCUGUGAAUUCAGUCAAACCAUGCUGUUCUACCUAGUUCUUCCUGCAGUUUGAAGUUUUCUUGUGCAAUUUAGCAACCCCCUCCUGCCAAACCACAUUGAUUUUAGUCUACAAAAAAAAAAAAAAAAUUAAUAA
This is a long non-coding RNA of Prinia subflava (tawny-flanked prinia), 1267 nucleotides long. RefSeq lists it as uncharacterized. The transcript has 2 exons. Lineage: Eukaryota; Metazoa; Chordata; Aves; Passeriformes; Cisticolidae. The record is from RefSeq and is a predicted model, not a curated record.